UUGCGCAAGCGUGUCGGCAUGUGAGGAACCGUUCGACUACGUCGGCUCGUCUACUUCACGGAGUCGUUCUUCUUCCAAGAGGGAUCUCAGGCAAGAUGAUCAUUUCCCUAGAUACCAUUACUAUCAUUGUCAUGCUAGUUGUUUUGUUUCUAUCGGUAUGUCUCGCUGCCUACCACAUGUUAAAUAUCAGCCACCCAACAUUGGCACGAAAACCUUCAACCUUCUACAACCUAGCAAACCACUGAUUGGCUAUGUUACCACUUGCUUAACCAUCGGAUAGUGUUGCUAGUUGCAGGUGUAGUUGCUUCCAUGUGCAAACAUGAGUUCCUUGUUAUAUCACCAUAUUAUUGCUAAUUAAUUUAAUGCACCUAUAUACUUGGUAAAAGGUGGAAGGCUCAGACUUUCUAGCCUCGUGUUUUGUUCCACCUUUGCCGCCUUAGUUUCGGCUACCGUUGUUAUGUUCCAUAAAUGAGCGCUCCUAACAUGCUUGGGGUUAUUAUGGGGACCCCCUAGAUUGUCGUUUUUGGAUAAAAACUCGUCUGGCAAGGCCCAACAUUGGUACUAUACUUGCCCAACAUAAUAAUUCCGUUAAUAUUGAAAACAUAGGAUGUCAUGAACCCGAGGAGUAAUUCAACAUAAUAAAGGGAGGGCUAGUGCUGAUGGUGCUAGUCAAAAUCAGAGCCACUUGCGGGGCCACCCGAGGCAACUCAGGGUAUGUCUAUCUGGCCACCAUACGUAGUGCUCAUCCACCGUGUCCUGAGAACGAGAUACGCGGCUCCUAUCGGGAUCGUCGACACGCCGGGCGGCCUUGCUGGAAUUGUUUUACCUUUCUCGAGCGUCUUGUGCGUGGGAUUCCGAGGAUGCUUUGGGUUAUCUCGAGGUUGAGGUAUUCCAAUAGGAACCCGUGGAGCUCACGGGUUUCCCCUGAUCGAGGUCAUUCCGGCGCAGCGUGUGGUAAUUUGUGAUGGACUAGUCAAAGCACCCAGCAGGGUUAAAUCUUUCAGAAAGCCGUGCCCGCCGUUAUGUCGCAACUUGGAAACUUUGUUUAACAUCCGGUUCUAGAUAACUUGAAGUAAUAUUAAUCAAAAUAUGCCAAUUGAGUGCGUAACCGUCACUGUCUCUUUCGUGAGCUCCUUCUCCGAUUGAGGACACGGUGGGGUUAUGUCUGACAUAAGUAGGUGUUCAGGAUCAUUCAUUUGAUCAUCAAUAGUUCACGUCCGCUAUGCGUAGAUCAUCCCUGUGUUUUAUUCUUAUACUCGUAAGUUAGCCACCUCAAUAAAUGCUUAGUCGCUUGCUGCAGCCUCACCACUUAACCACACCUCGCCCAUUAAGCUUUGCUAGUCUUGAUACCUUCGGAAAUGAGAUUGCUGAGUCCCUGUGGCUCACAGAUUACUACAACACCAGUUGCAGGUACAGGUAAAGAGUUACAUUGACGCGAGCGCGUUGAUUGUUCAUUUGGAGUUUCUUGUUCUUCUUCUUUGAUCUAGGAUGGGUUCCAGGCUGGCAGCAUGGGAUAGCAAGGAUGGACGUUGUUCUUUUAUCGUUUGUUUUCUUCCAUAGUCGGACCGUGCUCUUCAUCAUGAUGAUUGUAUGUAUUGUACUGUAUGACUCUGAUGUAGCUUAUGGCGAGUGUAAGCCAACUCUGUAUACUCAUCUUUUCAGUACAUGUACUUGUAACGAUAUCCAUUCUUGCGAAACAACGAGAUGCGUUUCUAUCCCUG
RNAcentral lists this long non-coding RNA (1721 nucleotides) under Hordeum vulgare. Its description in RNAcentral is "long non-coding RNA (HVUL_LNC012687)". The record is from RNAcentral. Lineage: Eukaryota; Viridiplantae; Streptophyta; Magnoliopsida; Poales; Poaceae.